Long non-coding RNA from Phacochoerus africanus (Common warthog), 413 nucleotides. RefSeq lists it as uncharacterized. NCBI's taxonomy places the organism in Eukaryota, Metazoa, Chordata, Mammalia, Artiodactyla, Suidae. The record is from RefSeq and is a predicted model, not a curated record. The transcript is spliced from 2 exons.
GUACUCUCUUCCUGGUCCAAACAUCCUGAAAGACACCAAGGCAAAAGUUACCUUCUCCAGUAGGCUUCUUCACAGAUGAGACUUCCCUGGGCUUCACCUCAUUCUAAGAAGGCUCCAUUCUGCUCUCUCAGUAUCCUCUUCGAUCCCCUCCAGCAAAACUGGCCCUAAGACCUCUACUCCUAUUGCACUUCUGUGCAGAAGUUGUGGGAUGAGAAGCCAGCACAAAGGACAGGGCGGGCAGCUGGCAUCCAGGCAGCCCAAAGGGGACGCACUGCAUUUCCUUCCUUAACCUGUCUGGAAGCCUCGCUGUUCACGUCUUCAAAACUGUUAAUCCUCCACCCUGAACUGGCUGCUUUCCAAGUUACUACACCAUACACAAGAAAUCCAUUCUAAUAAAAGUAGUCUUUAAAGAA